This 257-nucleotide ribosomal RNA is filed under the name uncultured bacterium. RNAcentral describes it as "partial 16S ribosomal RNA". It matches the Rfam family "Bacterial small subunit ribosomal RNA", at positions 524 to 776 of the family's 1533-position model. The record is from RNAcentral.
UACAGAGACCUCAAGCGUUAUCCGGAAUCAUUGGGCGUAAAGCGUGCCGAUAGGUGGUUGAAGUAGUCUUGGGUAAAAGCCAGAAGCUCAACUUCUGCGUUUGCUUAAGAUACUUUUCGACUAGAGGGGCAAAGAGGUGCUUGGAACGAAUGGUGUAGUAGUGAAAUGCGUUGAUAUCAUUCGGAACACCGAAAGCGAAGGCAGAGCACUGGGUGCCACCUGACACUGCUAGGACGAAAGCGUGGGUAGCGAAUGGG